This 484-nucleotide ribosomal RNA is filed under the name uncultured bacterium. Its description in RNAcentral is "partial 16S ribosomal RNA". It matches the Rfam family "Bacterial small subunit ribosomal RNA", at positions 30 to 507 of the family's 1533-position model. The record is from RNAcentral.
AAUGAACGCUGGCGGCAUGCCUAACACAUGCAAGUCGAGCGAACGAAGGGGGAGUGUGCCUGGAUGAAGCGGGGGACGGAUGGGUAAGGAACAGGAAGAUGACCGGCAGAGGAGGAUAAGGUAAGGAAAGGGAAGCGGAGAUCGUAUAGGACAAGAGGGAGAAAGGGAGGGAUCAACGGAGAAAGAGGGAUCAGAUGAGACUAAGACGGAUUAGCUAGUUGGUGAGGUAAAGGGGUACCAAGGCGACGAUCCGUAACUGCUCUGAGAGGAUGAUCAGCCACACUGGAACUGAGACACGGUCCAGACUCCUACGGGAGGCAGCAGUGGGGAAUCUUCCGCAAUGGGCGAAAGCCUGAUCCAGCCACGCCGCGUGUGUGAUGAAGGUCUUCGGAUCGUAAAGCUCUUUUAUUUGGGAAGAACAAAUGUGUGUUUAUCUCUUCCCGUCUUGACGUUACCUAAUCAGUAAGCCACGGCUAACUUCGUG